RNAcentral lists this non-coding RNA (44 nucleotides) under Trichobilharzia regenti. Lineage: Eukaryota; Metazoa; Platyhelminthes; Trematoda; Strigeidida; Schistosomatidae. The record is from RNAcentral.
AUUAGCCGAUGAGUCCCAAAUGGGACAAAACGCGCGUCCUAGAU